This 523-nucleotide ribosomal RNA is filed under the name uncultured bacterium. RNAcentral describes it as "bacterial SSU rRNA". It matches the Rfam family "Bacterial small subunit ribosomal RNA", at positions 8 to 518 of the family's 1533-position model. The record is from RNAcentral.
AGAGUUUGAUCCUGGCUCAGGAUGAACGCUAGCUACAGGCUUAACACAUGCAAGUCGAGGGGCAGCAUGAAACUUAGCUUGCUAAGUUUGAUGGCGACCGGCGCACGGGUGAGUAACACGUAUCCAACCUACCGUUUACUACGGGAUAGCCUUCUGAAAAGGAGAUUAAUACCGUAUGGUAUUCUAAAGUUUCAUGACAUUAGAAUUAAAGGUUUACCGGUAAUCGAUGGGGAUGCGUUCCAUUAGAUAGUAGGCGGGGUAACGGCCCACCUAGUCAGCGAUGGAUAGGGGUUCUGAGAGGAAGGUCCCCCACAUUGGAACUGAGACACGGUCCAAACUCCUACGGGAGGCAGCAGUGAGGAAUAUUGGUCAAUGGGCGAGAGCCUGAACCAGCCAAAGUAGCGUGAAGGAUGACUGCCCUAUGGGUUGUAAACUUCUUUUAUAAAGGAAUAAAGUGGUCCACGUGUGGAUUUUUGUAUGUACUUUAUGAAUAAGGAUCGGCUAACUCCGUGCCAGCCGCCGC